This 490-nucleotide long non-coding RNA is filed under the name Cricetulus griseus (Chinese hamster). RNAcentral describes it as "lncRNA (ENSCGRG00015036300.1)". The record is from RNAcentral. Lineage: Eukaryota; Metazoa; Chordata; Mammalia; Rodentia; Cricetidae.
AAGAAAGAAGAAGAAGAAGAGGAGGAGGAGGAGGAGGAGGAGGAGGAGGCUGGAAGAUGAGAUGGGAUUACUAACUCUAUGAAGCAAAGGCACAGAGGUGCUAGGACACUGGCGGAAUGCAUCCUGUCUUCCUGGCGAUCACAUGACGACUCCACAGAGAAGAGAGGAGAAGGAAGAGAAAGAGCGUGAUUUCCUGCUUGUCCCUGUUUAUAUUCUGAGUCUGCCUACUAUGUCACUUCCUGCCUGGAUCACAAGACUUCUCUUUACUACAUUUCCCAAAAUCCUCCUUGACUCCUAGUCCCACCUAACUUGCUUCUUCAUUUCCCAACAGUACUUUAUUCAACAACCAAUAAGAUAAACAUACAUAGAAGGACUUGCCCUAUCAGAGGAUGCUUGCAGCAACCAAGAUAGUGACAGAGAAUGGCUGUCACAUAUGGCACUUAGAGUUUGUUACCAAUAUAAGAAACUCUUUCUCGAUAUUAUAUGUAAU